This 198-nucleotide unclassified non-coding RNA is filed under the name fungal sp. RNAcentral's name for it is "partial internal transcribed spacer region". The stretch from base 1 to 46 matches the Rfam family "Eukaryotic small subunit ribosomal RNA", at positions 1786 to 1831 of the family's 1831-position model. The record is from RNAcentral. Lineage: Eukaryota; Fungi.
AAGUCGUAACAAGGUUUCCGUAGGUGAACCUGCGGAAGGAUCAUUACAAAUCCAAGUCAAGUCUAUUGACAAGUUGAAAUGUGUGUGUGAGAGAGAGAGAAUAUAUUUAAUAUUUUUCCACACAAAGUCCAUACAUUCAAUGUUGAACAACACAUAUAUUCUUUUACACAACUUGUAACAAUGAAUCUCUAGGCUCUU